GACAGAGGUUGCAAACGUUGUUCGGAAUCACUGGGCAUAAAGCGCACGUAGGCGGCUGACUAAGUCAGAUGUGAAAUCCCUCGGCUCAACCGGGGAACUGCGUCUGAUACUGGUCGGCUUGAGAACGGUAGGGGUGAGCGGAACUCCAGGUGGAGCGGUGAAAUGCGUAGAUAUCUGGAGGAACACCGGUGGCGAAAGCGGCUCACUGGACCGUCACUGACGCUGAGGUGCGAAAGCUAGGGUAGCAAAC
Molecule: ribosomal RNA, 250 nt
Filed under: uncultured bacterium
Lineage: Bacteria
Description: partial 16S ribosomal RNA
Rfam family: Bacterial small subunit ribosomal RNA
Source: RNAcentral